UACAUAGGGUGCAAGCGUUGUCCGGAAUUAUUGGGCGUAAAGAGCUCGUAGGUCGUUUGCCGCGUCGAUUGUGAAAAUCUGAGGCUCAACCUCAGACCUGCAGUCGAUACGGGCAAACUAGAGUGUGGUAGGGGAGACUGGAAUUCCUGGUGUAGCGGUGGAAUGCGCAGAUAUCAGGAGGAACACCAAUGGCGAAGGCAGGUCUCUGGGCCAUAACUGACACUGAGGAGCGAAAGCGCGGGGAGCGAACAGGAUUAGAUACCCUGGUAGUCCGCGCCGUAAACGAUGGGCACUAGCUGUGAGAGCCUUCCACGGUUCUCGCGACGCAGCAAACGCAUUAAGUGCCCCGCCUGGGGAGUACGAUCGCAAGAUUAAAACUCAAAGGAAUUGACGGGGCCCCGCACAAGCAGCGGAGCAUGCGGCUUAAUUCGACGCAACGCGAAGAACCUUACCAAGGCUUGACAUAUAGCGAAAAGUGGCAGAGAUGUCAUGUCCGCAAGGGCGCUAUACAGGUGGUGCAUGGUUGUCGUCAGCUCGUGUCGUGAGAUGUUGGGUUAAGUCCCGCAACGAGCAUAACCCUCGUUCUGUGUUGCCAGCAUUCAGUUGGGGACUCACAGGGGACUGCCGGGGUCAACUCGGAGGAAGGUGGGGAUGACGUCAAAUCAUCAUGCCCCUUAUGUCUUGGGCUGCACGCAUGCUGCAAUGGCCGGUACAAAGUGCUGCGAAAUCGUAAGAUUUAGCGAAUCACAUAAAGCCGGUCUCAGUUCGGAUUGAGGUCUGCAACUCGACCUCAUGAGGUCGGAGUUGCUAGUAAUCGUAGAUCAGCAACGCUACGGUGAAUACGUUCCCGGGGCU
Molecule: ribosomal RNA, 855 nt
Filed under: uncultured bacterium
Lineage: Bacteria
Description: SSU rRNA
Rfam family: Bacterial small subunit ribosomal RNA
Source: RNAcentral